UAAUUGAAGAGUUUGAUCAUGGCUCAGAUUGAACGCUGGCGGCAGGCCUAACACAUGCAAGUCGAACGGUAACAGGGAGCAGCUUGCUGCUCUGCUGACGAGUGGCGGACGGGUGAGUAAUGUCUGGGAAACUGCCUGAUGGAGGGGGAUAACUACUGGAAACGGUAGCUAAUACCGCAUAACGUCUACGGACCAAAGUGGGGGACCUUCGGGCCUCAUGCCAUCAGAUGUGCCCAGAUGGGAUUAGCUAGUAGGUGGGGUAACGGCUCACCUAGGCGACGAUCCCUAGCUGGUCUGAGAGGAUGACCAGCCACACUGGAACU
Molecule: ribosomal RNA, 323 nt
Filed under: Cronobacter sakazakii
Lineage: Bacteria; Pseudomonadati; Pseudomonadota; Gammaproteobacteria; Enterobacterales; Enterobacteriaceae
Description: bacterial SSU rRNA
Rfam family: Bacterial small subunit ribosomal RNA
Source: RNAcentral